Molecule: unclassified non-coding RNA, 176 nt
Filed under: rhizosphere metagenome
Description: partial ribosomal RNA internal transcribed spacer region
Source: RNAcentral
GAAUGAAAAGUGCUUAACUGCAUUUUUUCUUACACAUGUGUUUUUCUUUUUUUGAAAACUUUGCUUUGGUAGGCCUUCUAUAUGGGGCCUGCCAGAGAUUAAACUCAACCAAAUUUUAUUUAAUGUCAACCGAUUAUUUAAUAGUCAAAACUUUCAACAACGGAUCUCUUGGUUCU